UAACAGCACAUCUGAUCAUCUGCCUGUU
Molecule: non-coding RNA, 28 nt
Filed under: Rattus norvegicus (Norway rat)
Lineage: Eukaryota; Metazoa; Chordata; Mammalia; Rodentia; Muridae
Source: RNAcentral